RNAcentral lists this ribosomal RNA (482 nucleotides) under uncultured bacterium. RNAcentral's name for it is "bacterial SSU rRNA". It matches the Rfam family "Bacterial small subunit ribosomal RNA", at positions 339 to 835 of the family's 1533-position model. The record is from RNAcentral.
CUACGGGAGGCAGCAGUGGGGAAUUUUACGCAAUGGGGGAAACCCUGACGUAGCGACACCGCGUGAACGAAGAAGCCUUUUGGGGUGUAAAGUUCUGUCAGCAGGGACGAAAAAAAUGACGGUACCUGCAGAGGAAGCAUCGGCUAACUACGUGCCAGCAGCCGCGGUAAGACGUAGGAUGCAAGCGUUGUCCGGAUUUAUUGGGCGUAAAGAGUUCGUAGGUGGUUUGUUAAGUCUGAUGUUAAAGACUGGGGCUCAACCUCGGAAAUGCAUUGGAUACUGGCAGACUCGAGUGCAGUAGAGGCAAGUGGAAUUCCAGGUGUAGCGGUGAAAUGCGUAGAUAUCUGGAAGAACACCGGUGGCGCAAGCGACUUGCUGGGCUGUAACUGACGCUGAGGAACGAAAGCUAGGGGAGCAAAUGGGAUUAGAUACCCCAGUAGUCCUANCCGUAAACGAUGGAUACUAGGCGUAUCGGGUAUCGA